This 64-nucleotide transfer RNA is filed under the name Ochthebius magnannulatus. Its description in RNAcentral is "tRNA-His". The record is from RNAcentral. Lineage: Eukaryota; Metazoa; Arthropoda; Insecta; Coleoptera; Hydraenidae. RNAcentral also lists the same sequence under 1 other name.
AUUUAAGUAGUUUAUUUAAAAUAUUGAUUUGUGAUAUCAAAGAUAUAAUUUUUUAUCUUAAAUA